This 1582-nucleotide long non-coding RNA is filed under the name Lonchura striata (white-rumped munia). RNAcentral describes it as "domestica (Bengalese finch) lncRNA (ENSLSDG00000004755.1)". Lineage: Eukaryota; Metazoa; Chordata; Aves; Passeriformes; Estrildidae. The record is from RNAcentral.
AUUAUAUAUAUAAUAUAAAAAUUUAUAUAAAAUAUGUAAUUAUAUUCUAUAUAAUAACUAUAGGUACUAUUACAUACUAUAUUAUUAUAUCUAAUAACUAUAUUAUAACUUUAUUAUGAUACAUUAAUAUACUAUUUAAAGGAGAUUUUAAAACUACAAACCUACUUUUUCUAGCUCCCACAUCUAACUCCCAACUCGUGCCCCUCUCUGGAGUUCAAACACAGCUGGGUGGGCUUGGCCACCGGGCUCGAAGCAUCCUCCCCAAAAUCCACCCAAAGAAUUCUCCAGGCGCGUUCCAGGUGGGAACGGCGAGGAGCAGAACCGGGAAUUGAUCCCUGUGCUCCUCCAUGGAAACCCUGGGAGAAAGAACCGGCCUGGCACAGCGCCUGGCAUGGGGGGGAUUGAGCCCGAGGAGGAGGAGGGUGUGAGGAGGAGGAGGGUGUGAGGAUGAGGAUGAGGAGGGGGUGGGGGCUCGGGAAGGGAAGGGAAGGGAAGGGAAGGGAAGGGAAGGGAAGGGAAGGGAAGGGAAGGGAAGGGAAGGGAAGGGGGGGAAGGAGCGGCUCUCACCCCGCGGCUCCGGCCGAGCAGCCGCAGCUCCUCCAGCAGCCCCCGCGGGCUCCGCUCCCGCCGCUCCUGCGCCCCCGCCCGCAGCCACGGGCCCGAGGUGCCCCAGAGCGCGGCCACCAGCGCCAGGGACACAGCCUGCCCUGGGGACAGUGGGGACAGGGUCAGGGACAGGGACAGGGACUGGCCUGGGGGACAAUGGGGACAGAGUUAGAGCCUGGCCUGGGGAACAGGGACAGGGUCAGGGACUGGCCUGGGGGACAAUGGGGACAGGGUCAGAGCCUGGCCUGGGGACAAUGGGGACAGGGUCAGGGACAGGGACAGGGACUGGCCUGGGGACAGUGGGGACAGGGUCAGGGACAGGGACAGGGACUGGCCUGGGGACAGUGGGGACAGGGUCAGGGACAGGGACAGGGACUGGCCUGGGGGACAGGGACAGGGUCAGGGACUGGCCUGGGGGACAAUGGGAACAGAGCCUGGCCUGGGGGACAGGGACAGGGUCAGGGACUGGCCUGGGGGGACAAUGGGGACAGAGUUAGAGCCUGGCCUGGGGAACAGGGACAGGGUCAGGGACUGGCCUGGGGGACAGGGACAGGGACAGAGACUGGCCUGGGGGACAGGGACAGGGACAGGGUCAGGGACUGGCCUGGGGACAAUGGGGACAGGGUCAGAGCCUGGCCUGGGGGACAGGGACAGGGUCAGGGACUGGCCUGGGGACAAUGGGGACAGGGACAGGGACAGGGACAGAGACUAGCCUGGGGGACAGGGACAGGGUCAGGGACUGGCCUGGGGGACAAUGGGGACAGGGACAGGGUCCGAGCCUGGCCUGGGGGGACAGCAGGAGCUGGAAUUGGGCAAUUAUCCCCAAUAUUUAAAUGGACCAAACUCCUAAAAAUGUGAAAACUUGUGAUGCACUGUCCAUCUUGGGUCUAGCCAAGGCCAGGCUCUCAUGCUGCCCAAGCUGUAUCCUGCCAAGGCUUUGAAUAAAUCCCUGCUUUCCUCUUAGGGUUAGAAGGAA